Molecule: ribosomal RNA, 286 nt
Filed under: uncultured bacterium
Lineage: Bacteria
Description: partial 16S ribosomal RNA
Rfam family: Bacterial small subunit ribosomal RNA
Source: RNAcentral
GGAGGAAGAAGGUCUUCGGAUUGUAAACUCCUGUUGUUGAGGAAGAUAAUGACGGUACUCAACAAGGAAGUGACGGCUAACUACGUGCCAGCAGCCGCGGUAAAACGUAGGUCACAAGCGUUGUCCGGAAUUACUGGGUGUAGAGGGAGCGCAGGCGGGAGAACAAGUUGGAGGUGAAAUCCAUGGGCUCAACCCAUGAACUGCUUUCAAAACUGUUUUUCUUGAGUAGUGCAGAGGUAGGCGGAAUUCCCGGUGUAGCGGUGGAAUGCGUAGAUAUCGGGAGGAA